RNAcentral lists this ribosomal RNA (405 nucleotides) under uncultured bacterium. RNAcentral's name for it is "bacterial SSU rRNA". It matches the Rfam family "Bacterial small subunit ribosomal RNA", at positions 354 to 776 of the family's 1533-position model. The record is from RNAcentral.
GUGGGGAAUAUUGCACAAUGGGGGAAACCCUGAUGCAGCGACGCCGCGUGGGUGAAGAAGUACUUCGGUACGUAAAGCCCUAUCAGCAGGGAAGAAAAUGACGGUACCUGAUUAAGAAGCCCCGGCUAACUACGUGCCAGCAGCCGCGGUAAUACGUAGGGGGCAAGCGUUAUCCGGAUUUACUGGGUGUAAAGGGAGCGUAGACGGCAUUGCAAGUCCGGAGUGAAAGCCCACGGCCCAACCGUGGGACUGCUCUGGAAACUGUAGAGCUGGAGUGCGGGAGGGGCAGGCGGAAUUCCUAGUGUAGCGGUGAAAUGCGUAGAUAUUAGGAGGAACAUCGGCGGCGAAGGCGGCCUGCUGGACCGUAACUGACGUUGAGGCUCGAAAGCGUGGGGAGCAAACAGG